RNAcentral lists this unclassified non-coding RNA (345 nucleotides) under soil metagenome. RNAcentral's name for it is "partial contains 5.8S ribosomal RNA, internal transcribed spacer 2, and large subunit ribosomal RNA". The stretch from base 1 to 121 matches the Rfam family "5.8S ribosomal RNA", at positions 35 to 154 of the family's 154-position model. The record is from RNAcentral.
GAUGAAGAACGUAGCGAAAUGCGAUAAGUAAUGCGAAUUGCAGAAUUUCCGUGAGUCAUCGAAUCUUUGAACGCACAUUGCGCCCACUGGUAUUCCGGUGGGCAUGCCUGUUCGAGCGUCAUUAUCCUCCCUCAAACCCCGGGUUUGGUGUUGGACCCAAGUUGUGUGAACAACUGGUCUCAAAGACAAUGACGGCGUCCGUGGGACCCUCGGUGCAACGAGCUUUUAGGAGCACGCAUCGAGUUGCAAGGACCUUCCGGGCCGGUCUCCUUUACCAUUUUACAAGGUUGACCUCGGAUCAGGUAGGUAUACCCGCUGAACUUAAGCAUAUCAAUAAGCGGAGGA